RNAcentral lists this unclassified non-coding RNA (405 nucleotides) under Athalia rosae (coleseed sawfly). RNAcentral's name for it is "misc RNA ENSAEAG00005012767.1". The record is from RNAcentral. Lineage: Eukaryota; Metazoa; Arthropoda; Insecta; Hymenoptera; Athaliidae.
GUAUGAUAGGAGCCAGUCGAGCUAGCAGUGUUCCACUAAUCUGGCCAAUUGCAUUUCCAUGCGAUUUAGUAGGCGACAACGUCUUUCGGUCUUUGAAAAAUUGCAGGAGACCAGCUCCUCCGGAUCCCUCUGUUUGAGUCACGCCAAUAUACAAUUUCUAUGGAUAAUUCUCCUUGGGCCUUUAGUGUUGCCUCAAUAUUGCCUGCAAAGCUGAUCUGUGCCAAACAAGCAUCUGAGGCAUGACGCAACAAUUUCAUUGCUCCACCAGUUACAGCAGCAGAUGCAAGAAGAGUUCUUGUUCCAUGGACGACACUACCAUCUAAACUGAGACUCUCUGCACUUCCAUUAGCCAACCAUCCAUUCCCAAGCGCAAGGAGGCUCAGGUUUUCCACAUGAACAGCCAUA